Long non-coding RNA from Delphinapterus leucas (beluga whale), 807 nucleotides. RefSeq lists it as uncharacterized. The record is from RefSeq and is a predicted model, not a curated record. NCBI's taxonomy places the organism in Eukaryota, Metazoa, Chordata, Mammalia, Artiodactyla, Monodontidae.
GCUAUCUUGUUAGUCAUGCUGAACUGAAUGCUACUUUUCCAACCAAAGAGGUCCAAACCAGGGCUCUUCCUUUGCUUCGGUCUUGGGUAAACACAAGGUGCUCUUGAACCAAGAAGAAAAAUGCCAGACCCCGAUUGGGAGACUCAGAAUGACUUCCUGAAAAGAUACUUUGGGCUGAGAUCUGAGGCUUCAAUCGAAUUUGUUCUACGAAGAAAACAAGGAAGGACAGUCAUCCUCAGUAAAGAGAUCCUUGUGGAUGAAGACCCAGAGGUGAGCCAGCCCUGAGUGUCUGGACAUCCACAAGGAAGUCAGUGUGGCUGGAGGACAAGGUGUUACAUAACAGACUUACAUUUUCAUUCAUCUACGGGCCUCUAAUAAUUGAGAAGAAGUCACUCAAGUGAGGAAGAUCUGUAGGUGCAUGAACUUGCUGGGAAUAUUAAGCGGUGAUACUCCGUGGAGCUCUGGAGACUUGAGUCCUUAGCAGUGAUUUAGGAAGACCCGUCGCAGAUCACUACAGUGAAAUUGACUCCAGGCAUGAAUGCUAUAGAAAAACACAAGGACUGCACGGAUCAUAAGCCAAAUACAGACAUAGAAAUGAGAUAUUUUCCAGGUGGAGCGACUGAGCUGUGUAACAUUUCCAAACGUGUAGAUAAAUCUCCUCAUCUAUCAUGAUGUCACCAACGACCCUGAAAAUCUGCAAUCCACGGUUCAUCGUGAAAACAUUUCAUGGAUGCUUUAUUAUUUUUCAUGAAGAAGGAGCACAGGCUCCAGACGCGCAGGCUCAGCGGCCAUGGCUCACGGGCCCAC